AGAGUUUGAUUAUGGCUCAGGAUGAACGCUAGCGACAGGCUAACACAUGCAAGUCGAGGGGCAGCAUAGAAGUAGCAAUACUUGGUGGCGACCGGCGCACGGGUGAGUAACGCGUAUGCAACCUACCUAUCAGAGGGGAAUAACCCGGCGAAAGUCGGACUAAUACCGCAUAAAACAGGGGCACCGCAUGGUGAUAUUUGUUAAAGAAAUUCGCUGAUAGAUGGGCAUGCGUUCCAUUAGGUAGUUGGUGAGGUAACGGCUCACCAAGCCGACGAUGGAUAGGGGAACUGAGAGGUUGGUCCCCCACACUGGUACUGAGACACGGACCAGACUCCUACGGGAGGCAGCAGUGAGGAAUAUUGGUCAAUGGGCGGGAGCCUGAACCAGCCAAGUCCGCGUGAAGGAAGAAGGAUCUAUGGUUCGUAAACUUCUUUUGCAGGGGAAUAAAGUGCAGGACGUGUCCUGUUUUGUAUGUACCCUGAGAAUAAGGAUCGGCUAACUCCGUGCCAGCCGCCGC
Molecule: ribosomal RNA, 517 nt
Filed under: uncultured bacterium
Lineage: Bacteria
Description: bacterial SSU rRNA
Rfam family: Bacterial small subunit ribosomal RNA
Source: RNAcentral